RNAcentral lists this ribosomal RNA (492 nucleotides) under uncultured bacterium. Its description in RNAcentral is "partial 16S ribosomal RNA". It matches the Rfam family "Bacterial small subunit ribosomal RNA", at positions 29 to 507 of the family's 1533-position model. The record is from RNAcentral.
AGUGAACGCUGGCGGUAGGCCUAACACAUGCAAGUCGAACGGCAGCACAGUAAGAGCUUGCUCUUACGGGUGGCGAGUGGCGGACGGGUGAGGAAUACAUCGGAAUCUACUUUUUCGUGGGGGAUAACGUAGGGAAACUUACGCUAAUACCGCAUACGACCUACGGGUUAAAGCAGGGGAUCUUCGCACCUUGCGCGAUUGAAUGAGCCGAUGUCGGAUUAGCUAGUUGGCGGGGUAAAGGCCCACCAAGGCGACGAUCCGUAGCUGGUCUGAGAGGAUGAUCAGCCACACUGGAACUGAGACACGGUCCAGACUCCUACGGGAGGCAGCAGUAGGGAAUAUUGGACAAUGGGCGAAAGCCUGAUCCAGCCAUGCCGCGUGGGUGAAGAAGGCCUUCGGGUUGUAAAGCCCUUUUGUUGGGAAAGAAAAGCAGCAGGUUAAUACCCCGCUGUUCUGACGGUACCCAAAGAAUAAGCACCGGCUAACUUCGUG